Molecule: non-coding RNA, 148 nt
Filed under: Streptomyces tsukubensis
Lineage: Bacteria; Bacillati; Actinomycetota; Actinomycetes; Kitasatosporales; Streptomycetaceae
Source: RNAcentral
UCCAACUCCAUACGGGGCGGUGGGACCCAGGAAGCCGGUGCGAAUCCGGCGCGGUCCCGCCACUGUGAACAGCCGCUGACACGUGCACGCACCCCGCGUGCCGUCCCGCGGCCGUCAGUCAGGAACUGACCCAUCGCCCUUCUCCCAU